Homo sapiens (human) is the source of this 152-nucleotide non-coding RNA. It matches the Rfam family "Metazoan signal recognition particle RNA". From Rfam's summary of the family: The signal recognition particle (SRP) is a universally conserved ribonucleoprotein. It is involved in the co-translational targeting of proteins to membranes. The eukaryotic SRP consists of a 300-nucleotide 7S RNA and six proteins: SRPs 72, 68, 54, 19, 14, and 9. NCBI's taxonomy places the organism in Eukaryota, Metazoa, Chordata, Mammalia, Primates, Hominidae. The record is from Rfam.
GCUGGGCGUAGUGGUGCAUGCCUGUAAUCCCAGCUACUCCGGAGGCUGAGGCAGGAGACUCGCUUGAACCUGAGAGGUGGAGAUUGCAGUGAGUGAGCUGAGAUCAUGCCACUGCACUCCAGCUUGGGUGACAGAGUGAGACUCUGUCUCAA